GGCAGAGGGUGCAAACGUUGUUCGGAAUUACUGGGCGUAAAGGGCGCGUAGGCGGUUGGAUAAGUCAGCUGUGAAAACCACGGGCUUAACUCGUGGCCUGCAGUUGAGACUGUCUGGCUUGAGUGUGGGAGAGGAGAGUGGAAUUCCUGGUGUAGCGGUGAAAUGCGUAGAUAUCAGGAGGAACACCGGUGGCGAAGGCGGCUCUCUGGACCACAACUGACGCUGAGGCGCGAAAGCUAGGGGAGCAAACAGG
RNAcentral lists this ribosomal RNA (253 nucleotides) under uncultured bacterium. RNAcentral's name for it is "partial 16S ribosomal RNA". It matches the Rfam family "Bacterial small subunit ribosomal RNA", at positions 524 to 776 of the family's 1533-position model. The record is from RNAcentral.